UACGAAGGGGGCUAGCGUUGUUCGGAAUUACUGAGCGUAAAGGGCGCGUAGGCGGCCUUAUAAGUCGGAUGUGAAAGCCCAGGGCUCAACCCUGGAAGUGCACUCGAUACUGUAAGGCUCGAGUACUGGAGAGGUUGGUGGAAUUCUCGGUGUAGAGGUGAAAUUCGUAGAUAUCGAGAGGAACACCGGUGGCGAAGGCGGCCAACUGGACAGAUACUGACGCUGAGACACGAAAGCGUGGGGAGCAAACAGG
This 253-nucleotide ribosomal RNA is filed under the name uncultured bacterium. Its description in RNAcentral is "partial 16S ribosomal RNA". It matches the Rfam family "Bacterial small subunit ribosomal RNA", at positions 524 to 776 of the family's 1533-position model. The record is from RNAcentral.